Bombus terrestris (buff-tailed bumblebee) is the source of this 778-nucleotide long non-coding RNA. RefSeq lists it as uncharacterized. The record is from RefSeq and is a predicted model, not a curated record. Lineage: Eukaryota; Metazoa; Arthropoda; Insecta; Hymenoptera; Apidae. The transcript has 3 exons.
UGUUCAGCAAAUUAGGUUAAAUCUGAAUCUUGGUGGUCUCGUUUCCCCGCGGCCUCUUGCCAUCGAUUAUCCACGCACACACGCGCCUCUUCUGCCGGAAGAAGGGGACACAAAGGAUGAAACGAGAACGCCGCGUGUCCAACCGAACGGAAAGUGGAGAAAAAUUGCGGGCAAAUUACUUUGAGUAUAUGUUACAAAUGGUGCGGUGAUAGGUCGGAUUUUUAUGUAAGAAGCUCAUUUGGCAAAUCGAGUAACCUCGUAAAAAGUGGAGAAAAUUGAUGAAAUUAUAUAAGAUAAGCGUGGAUGCUUCGCGAUUGAAAAGCAAUUAAGAAGAGUAAUUAUUAUGUGAAUUUUAAUAUAUAGGAAUUGCUAUUAAAGGGAGCCAUGAAACCUGCUUGGGAACCAGAGAGUAAUUUACGACUGAAAUAUCCAAGGUUAAUAACGUCUGUCAAUAUCGAUAAAUGGGUAAAAAUGGAUUUGGCCGUAUUUUCUUCUUUAUUUUAUAAAAGCGUUUAAAUGUUUAUGUAUGUAUAUGUAAUCUUUAUAAUACAAACUCUACAUUGUAUCAUGAAAGAAGCUGUCGUAAAAUAAAUGAUCACCCUGAACAAUUUAAAACCAUCUUUCCGAACAUGAGAUUAUAUAGAUUCUUCUUUUUCUUUUUCAAGACGUAUAUAAAUAAUUGACAAUCAAAAUUUCGACUCAUUUGUAGUAACAUUGCAUGUACGCUGAUGCUCCUCGAGUCUUAAAUAAAUUAUCUAUAGCGGCAAACUACUGCAAA